Molecule: ribosomal RNA, 402 nt
Filed under: uncultured Sphingomonadales bacterium
Lineage: Bacteria; Pseudomonadati; Pseudomonadota; Alphaproteobacteria; Sphingomonadales
Description: bacterial SSU rRNA
Rfam family: Bacterial small subunit ribosomal RNA
Source: RNAcentral
UGGGGAAUAUUGGACAAUGGGCGAAAGCCUGAUCCAGCAAUGCCGCGUGAGUGAUGAAGGCCUUCGGGUCGUAAAGCUCUUUUACCAGGGAUGAUAAUGACAGUACCUGGAGAAUAAGCUCCGGCUAACUCCGUGCCAGCAGCCGCGGUAAUACGGAGGGAGCUAGCGUUGUUCGGAAUUACUGGGCGUAAAGCGCGCGUAGGCGGUUAUUCAAGUCAGAGGUGAAAGCCCGGGGCUCAACCCCGGAACUGCCUUUGAAACUAGAUAGCUAGAAUCUUGGAGAGGUCAGUGGAAUUCCGAGUGUAGAGGUGAAAUUCGUAGAUAUUCGGAAGAACACCAGUGGCGAAGGCGACUGACUGGACAAGUAUUGACGCUGAGGUGCGAAAGCGUGGGGAGCAAACA